This 433-nucleotide ribosomal RNA is filed under the name uncultured bacterium. Its description in RNAcentral is "partial 16S ribosomal RNA". It matches the Rfam family "Bacterial small subunit ribosomal RNA", at positions 29 to 507 of the family's 1533-position model. The record is from RNAcentral.
AACGAACGCUGGCGGCAGGCCUAACACAUGCAAGUCGAGCGAGGACUUCGGUUCUAGCGGCGGACGGGUGAGUAACGCGUGGGAAUGUGCCCUUCUCUACGGAAUAGCCCUGGGAAACUGGGAGUAAUACCGGAUACGCCCUCUUGGGGAAAGAUUUAUCGGAGAAGGAUCAGCCCGCGUUGGAUUAGGUAGUUGGUGGGGUAAUGGCCUACCAAGCCGACGAUCCAUAGCUGGUUUGAGAGGAUGAUCAGCCACACUGGGACUGAGACACGGCCCAGACUCCUACGGGAGGCAGCAGUGGGGAAUCUUAGACAAUGGGGGCAACCCUGAUCUAACCAUGCCGCGUGAGUGAUGAAGGCCUUAGGGUUGUAAAGCUCUUUCAGCUGGGAAGAUAAUGACGGUACCAGCAGAAGAAGCCCCGGCUAACUCCGUG